AAGCCUGUCUCAGUUCGGAUUGGAGUCUGNAACCCGACUCCAUGAAGCUGGAUUCGCUAGUAAUCGCGCAUCAGCCACGGCGCGGUGAAUACGUUCCCGGGCCUUGUACACACCGCCCGUCAAGCCAUGGAAGCCGGGGGUGCCUGAAGUGCGCUGCCGCAAGGAGCGCCCUAGGGUAAAACCGGUGACUGGGGCUAAGUCGUAACAAGGUACC
This 214-nucleotide ribosomal RNA is filed under the name uncultured bacterium. Its description in RNAcentral is "partial 16S ribosomal RNA". It matches the Rfam family "Bacterial small subunit ribosomal RNA", at positions 1279 to 1500 of the family's 1533-position model. The record is from RNAcentral.